GUGACGGGAAUGGAUUGUACACCGAUGAUCUUCAAAGAUUCUUGCAAAAAAGAGCUUGAGAAGACAGAAAAGCCUAAAAUGGAUCCUGAAGGAACUUCACAGCCACGGGCAGAAAGCAAAAAGCCCUCAAGAACACCCGAAGAUGGCACUUCGAGUCAAACAGUGGCCAAUUCCUUGCUUGUCCUCUUACUAAGUCACAUUGUUUUGCUGGUCGUGGCCCUUCUAUAGAUCAGUUAAGAUAUUGAGAAAUCUGUUACCACACCUUCGUGUGCACUGUAUCUCUCUCUAAAUUUGGGAUGUCACUGUGUUUUCUGUAUUUUUGGUGUCCACCUACUGAACUGUUGUUAAUGCUAGUAAGCAAAUAUUGCUAAUAAAACUAACCUGUGGAAUACUAACCCUAAGCGUUCAGCACUAUAAUUAAAAGAUUAAUUAUAGACACAAAUUAUUCAUUUCCCAGCCUUUAAACCGUUGUACCUUCGCCUUGUGAGAUUUCACAAAGGCAGCGUCUUUAGUAUAAAUAAAAUGAUACUUAUAGAAACUUCAA
Long non-coding RNA from Pomacea canaliculata, 544 nucleotides. RefSeq lists it as uncharacterized. The transcript has 7 exons. NCBI's taxonomy places the organism in Eukaryota, Metazoa, Mollusca, Gastropoda, Architaenioglossa, Ampullariidae. The record is from RefSeq and is a predicted model, not a curated record.